ACACUGAUGGUGAAACGGUAUCAUGCUUGCCUUCCAAUCUUUGAUUCAGCAAGCGGCGCGGGUUCGACUCCCGCUCAGUGUA
Non-coding RNA from Postia placenta Mad-698-R, 82 nucleotides. The record is from Rfam. NCBI's taxonomy places the organism in Eukaryota, Fungi, Basidiomycota, Agaricomycetes, Polyporales, Adustoporiaceae.